This 73-nucleotide transfer RNA is filed under the name Stegodyphus mimosarum. It matches the Rfam family "tRNA". From Rfam's summary of the family: Transfer RNA (tRNA) molecules are approximately 80 nucleotides in length. Their secondary structure includes four short double-helical elements and three loops (D, anti-codon, and T loops). Lineage: Eukaryota; Metazoa; Arthropoda; Arachnida; Araneae; Eresidae. The record is from Rfam by way of RNAcentral.
GCCUUCGUGGUGUUGUGAUCAGCACGCUCGACGUGUAUUCGAGAGGUUCGUGGUUCGAGUCCUGGCGAGGGCG